Punica granatum (pomegranate) is the source of this 1327-nucleotide non-coding RNA. The record is from RefSeq and is a predicted model, not a curated record. NCBI's taxonomy places the organism in Eukaryota, Viridiplantae, Streptophyta, Magnoliopsida, Myrtales, Lythraceae.
AAAUUAUUGCAUCGACACGCGGGUCCUACAGCAAGAAGAAACCUCUUUUGCUUCAGCCAAAAGAUGGAGCCGCCACCAAAAAAUUAUUGGUAGGCAAUAUUACACCAUGAGGAAAAGAGGACGAGUUCGAAUUCCAAAAAUACACUUGUUGAGCAGGGGAUUAUAUAUCCCCGGUACUUGCUCUCGCAAGUACCUCUCAUAAUUUUAAACUUCACCGGUAAAAAGAAGUGUUCGCCAACCCGGUAACAGUUGGGUAAACUACGCUAUUGAUGAGUGAAUUGUGCUUAUAGUGCAGGGCUUCAAGUCCACUAGAAUCACACUCUAGGCAAGGUAAGCUGACAGCCGGGUAGAAAUCAGUCUCAAACCAAACAGAUUGGAAACACCCCGCGGAAGGGGAAAAAGACGAGGCCGUUGAUAUAUCAAAAAGUAUCAUCGUGAGAGUGGGUUGGGCCUGGGAACUGGCUCGCAAGGGAAAGGCCAUAGACGAGGGACCAACCAGUCAGUUUGUUUCUUUUGAGCCAAGAAAGGCCGAUGAUUUGUGGACUAUAACCGUUGAUGUUUGUGCUGGACAACAUUUUAUCGGAUUUAAAGGACCGCAGUACAGAUAGGAUGUGAGGUGCAUGGGAGACCUCAGGUGGGAAUCGGAACCGGAACCUGAGUGAGGCCGCCACCAGUUCUUUUACAUGUUGGCCAGACACUACAUAAGUUAUCAGUUCCGGCAAACAAAGCCAUAGAUGUCAAAACCUUCCGGAGGAACUGAACUCUGAAGACAGGGAGAUGAAAUUUGACACUGCAGUUCUCUGGCUCCCUUGAAGCUAUCUCCAGGCCAUUUGUGCACUGGGGCGGAAUGAAAUUGGAUUGGAGGCCCUUCUGCCCGAGAGAUAGGCACCUCUGCUGUCCAAUUACUAGAUUAUAGGCAAUCUGUCAGUCGCUAUCAGUUUCCGGGGGAUACUUUCUGUUAUUGUGACAAAGAUAUGAAGAGUCGUAUACAUGCGUUCUGGAAUCAGUGCCAUGCAUCUCCUCUGUCUCAAGGUCAUUUAAAAUGGAAUAUUCCGAAUAGAGGAUGCAUAGCUGCAGUUCGGGAUGGAACAUAACAUGUAUAGUGCUGCGGACAUAAUUUUGAAGACUUAAUUACUAUGAUUGUAUCAAAAAGUUCGGACCAGCAAAGGUCAGAACUACAGAAUUUCGAUCCAUAGGGAAAUCCAUUUAGCAUGGAUGUCCAAAGAGGCUCGAAGAAAAAGGUAUAUAUCUUUAAUGUAUAUAUCUUUGACUUUUGCAUACAUACAGUCCAGAUUUUGUAUUGCACAUAAAACUUGGGUUAUUGCCA